Non-coding RNA from Zonotrichia albicollis (white-throated sparrow), 1754 nucleotides. NCBI's taxonomy places the organism in Eukaryota, Metazoa, Chordata, Aves, Passeriformes, Passerellidae. The record is from RefSeq and is a predicted model, not a curated record.
GGGAGCUGGAGUCAGUGGCUGCUUUGUGGAGAAGGAGGAGUCAGUGCUUUGAGGAGCUGCCCAUAAGAAACACCAAGCAGGUCUCACAACUGGUGAGUCAAGCCUACGGCUUGCCUUGACUUCAGAAAUGCUCCUGGGCUUUCAAGAGCAACCCUCAAUCAUCAGCUGCUGUCAAUAACAGAAGACACAUCUUUGUCCAUGCAGGGUGAUUCAGGGUCCUCCCCUGUGGUACAGCUCUACAAUGAGGAUGCUGCAAUCUCAGUCUGAGACCUAAGAAUUAGCCUGGAUUCAUUUCUAAUUGCAUAGCUUCAUGAGAAAGAAGAGACUUGCCAGCUUGCCCAGCGUCCCCAGUGAUAUUUCUUACUCUCAUUAAUCCCUGGAACUCUAUUAAUGUGAUGUGUACACAUGCACGAGACCAUUCUGCUGAUUAUGUGCAGCAUAUGGAGAGAUUUUACAUCAAUAUCUUCAUUUUUCUAGUUGUUCCCUUUUGGCAGGAACAACAAAGGGUAAAAUCUGCCUCUCCUAUAUGGAGUGAUUCCACACACUGACUCAUUUCCAGACAUUCCAAACAGAAGCACAACCUAAUAUUUUGCUGUAUUAAGUUCUCCAGUUUCCACCCAAGGGUGAGAAUUUGGUGACUCCAGGUGUUAAAAUCCCCAUCAGACUCUUUACUUGCAUUCAGUACCAGCUAGAGAAAAAUUAAAGGACUCUUUUAAAAUAUGAAGUUUAAUUCUAUCCAGAGUGAUAAAGAGUGGGUUAGGAGCUCAGAAUUUGGAGUUCAAAUUUAUUCCAAUGGUGGUCUGGAUUUUUAUGCCAGAGAUGUGUUUUCUCAUGCCUGUGAGUAGAACAAUUAAAACAAGUUAAAAUCAUUGAACUCUCUUUCCUACUGCUGUUGAACUUGGAAAAACAAUGCACAGUUUUAAAUUUUUAAGAAGUUAAAGAUUAUUUUUGUUUAAUUUUUAAAGUUGUUGGAUGGGGGAUUUUUGGGUUUUUUUUUUUUUUUUUGUAACAAUCUUUAAUUACUUGCUGGUCUUGUCAGGCACUUACAGAGCCAUGUAAUGUCUAGUAUUAAAUAACUCUUGGUAGAUUUGAUCCCAUACCCCCCAAAAACACCCAAAAUGGAGAGUUUUAAGGGAAAAGACAGUCUUUCACUUGGUCAGAGCAUGCCAAGUGUCUCUGUUUGGGGUGAUCCCAGAUCAUCUGGGAGGGGAAACAAGGGGAGUAAAUUCCAGUGCCUUUCUGCAGGGGUCUGAAAAGCGUGAAUUUUCUCCUUUUACAGUGAAUUUACACAGGCAGACCCUCCGGCCUUAUUUUGUGCUGUGAAAAUGCUGUUGGAUUGUCCCAGCCCCUCUGCUGUAACAGAGGCACAGCGCACUCUGCCUCGGAUGGAGCCUGGGUGAGCAGAGGCUCUUUGGGCAAAUCAUCGCUCCUCCAUCUCCCACAAGCCUUUUUUCUGUGUUCCACUUUCACAUCUGAGACAUAUAGACACUCUCAUCCAAAGACAUUCCUGCUUUUUGACAAUUGAGCACCUCUUGGAAGCAGAACCCUGCUCCAGGGCAAGCAGUGGCACAGUGGAGUGAGGGCAACUCCUUCCUCCUGAAUAAAUGCCGUUAAUGUGUGGGACAGCGAGGUGGUGAUUCAUGACUGAGCACUGUAGGCAAGCACAAAGCUUUUAAAUGCUACGUUUAGGCUAAGAUUGCAACAGAUAAGCAACCUGGAAGAUGGGAUGCAGAGCAAUGUGGGAAUUCUGACAC